UGAAAAAUAAGCUAAAUUUAUAGCUGGUGGGUUCAUACCCCGCAAAUGAGUAACGCUCUUUUUCAG
RNAcentral lists this transfer RNA (66 nucleotides) under Ligia oceanica (common sea slater). RNAcentral's name for it is "tRNA-Met". The record is from RNAcentral. Lineage: Eukaryota; Metazoa; Arthropoda; Malacostraca; Isopoda; Ligiidae.